GGGGCUGUAGCUUAAUGGUCAAAGCGCUCCCCUGUCACGGGAGAGAGUGAGGGUUCGAGUCCCUUCAGCCUCG
This 73-nucleotide transfer RNA is filed under the name Candidatus Woesebacteria bacterium RIFOXYA1_FULL_43_9. RNAcentral describes it as "tRNA-Asp". It matches the Rfam family "tRNA". Rfam says of the family: Transfer RNA (tRNA) molecules are approximately 80 nucleotides in length. Lineage: Bacteria; Candidatus Woeseibacteriota. The record is from RNAcentral.